This 85-nucleotide non-coding RNA is filed under the name Candidatus Sodalis pierantonii str. SOPE. The record is from RNAcentral. Lineage: Bacteria; Pseudomonadati; Pseudomonadota; Gammaproteobacteria; Enterobacterales; Bruguierivoracaceae.
CACAAUGGUGGGCUGGAUAGGGGAGCCGAAAGGCUCACCGGGCGGUUACUCCGGUACUGUGAACCCUAUUCAGUUCACCACCAGU